RNAcentral lists this non-coding RNA (30 nucleotides) under Mus musculus (house mouse). Lineage: Eukaryota; Metazoa; Chordata; Mammalia; Rodentia; Muridae. The record is from RNAcentral.
UGGAGAAUCACUAAGAUGGCAUUUCGUCAU